UGGUCAUUACCAAGGCUGCUAGGAAAACACUGUUUCUAGUAUGCUGUGGACAUGACCAUAAAGAGAAUCCAUCAGAUGUAUGCAUUGCUACUGAAGUAGCGUUUCAUCUGUUGGAAACAAGG
Small nucleolar RNA from Crocodylus porosus (Australian saltwater crocodile), 122 nucleotides. The record is from Ensembl. Lineage: Eukaryota; Metazoa; Chordata; Crocodylia; Crocodylidae.